Gambusia affinis (western mosquitofish) is the source of this 841-nucleotide long non-coding RNA. RefSeq lists it as uncharacterized. NCBI's taxonomy places the organism in Eukaryota, Metazoa, Chordata, Actinopteri, Cyprinodontiformes, Poeciliidae. The record is from RefSeq and is a predicted model, not a curated record. The transcript is spliced from 3 exons.
AUCCUCCUGAUGUGGUUACAGAAGCGGGAAGAUUUCUCACCCACAGCCUCAUCAUGCAGCCGUGCCGCAGAUGAUGAGAGAAAGAGAGAGGGGGGAGAUUAUCGAUCUGAUCCACGCCGGGACUCACCUGUCUGUCAAAGCAGGUGUGGACAGAAAGACUGGAGGCUAAAGAAGCGCCCUGUGGAUGUUUUUAUCUCCUGGAUGCAAAGGACGCUUCGGCAAACCCUGAAAAGAAGCCUCAGUUUUUCCAGUUUGCUGCUCUGACGAAUGAAGGAGCCUGUUUCUGUCUUUGGUUAUCUAGCUGUAUGAGUGUAAACUCUCCAUCAUAAAGCUAGAUAACCGAAAGCAGGAAUGACCUCCAAAGCUUCGGACCCUCACCUCAUGUGAGAGGAACCCUGGAAAAAGGAAGAAGCUUCACAUGAUGUGUUCAGCUAAAACAACGAUGAGCCUCAAUCCAGCCAUGCUUCAGAAUGAGAGGAUGAGCACAUCUUCCAGCAGCAUGCUGGGACCUGGCAGCUCGUCUGAAGAUGGACACAUGGAGCUGAACUCAGACCGAACAGUUCAAACAGUCAGAUAAAGACACAAAGAUGUAACGAUGCUUGUAAAGAUAGUUAGGUAAAUUAUUUCAUAUGAAAAGUGAUAAUGCAGGUUAUUAGAUUAGCCUGGAAAUGUCUUAAAAUCAUUUUCGAUAGAAGAAAAUAUGCCUGUUUAGCCUCAACUUAAAUAAUUCUUAUAUCUAAAUGGUGUUAACAGAUGCAAUAUCCUUUUUUUAUUUUUUCAAAACAAAAUGCUGAAAAGUGCAUUAUUUUAAUGUAAGCUGUUCAAUUAUCCAUGUCUUCAA